This 246-nucleotide ribosomal RNA is filed under the name uncultured bacterium. RNAcentral's name for it is "partial 16S ribosomal RNA". It matches the Rfam family "Bacterial small subunit ribosomal RNA", at positions 523 to 769 of the family's 1533-position model. The record is from RNAcentral.
AUACGUAGGGGGCGAGCGUUAUCCGGAAUUAUUGGGCGUAAGUAGUGCGUAGGUGGUUUUGUAAGCGCGGGGUGAAAGGCUAUGGCUCAACCAUAGUAAGCCUUGCGAACUGUGAGACUUGAGUGCAGGAGAGGAAAGCGGAAUUCCUAGUGUAGCGGUGAAAUGCGUAGAUAUUAGGAGGAACACCAGUGGCGAAGGCGGCUUUCUGGACUGUAACUGACACUGAGGCACGAAAGCGUGGGGAGC